Molecule: ribosomal RNA, 297 nt
Filed under: Mammaliicoccus sciuri
Lineage: Bacteria; Bacillati; Bacillota; Bacilli; Caryophanales; Staphylococcaceae
Description: Staphylococcus sciuri partial 16S ribosomal RNA
Rfam family: Bacterial small subunit ribosomal RNA
Source: RNAcentral
UUAGUAACUGAACAAGUCUUGACGGUACCUAACCAGAAAGCCACGGCUAACUACGUGCCAGCAGCCGCGGUAAUACGUAGGUGGCAAGCGUUAUCCGGAAUUAUUGGGCGUAAAGCGCGCGUAGGCGGUUUCUUAAGUCUGAUGUGAAAGCCCACGGCUCAACCGUGGAGGGUCAUUGGAAACUGGGAAACUUGAGUGCAGAAGAGGAGAGUGGAAUUCCAUGUGUAGCGGUGAAAUGCGCACAGAUAUGGAGGAACACCAGUGGCGAAGGCGGCUCUCUGGUCUGUAACUGACGCU